Non-coding RNA from Trichonephila clavipes, 75 nucleotides. NCBI's taxonomy places the organism in Eukaryota, Metazoa, Arthropoda, Arachnida, Araneae, Nephilidae. The record is from the annotation of a GenBank genome assembly.
GGGAGCAGUGCUCAGAUGGCAGAGCGUUCGCUUAGUAUGCGAGAGGUACGGGGGGAUCGAUACCCCACGCCUCCA